AAACAUUAACAUAACAAUCCGACCAACUAUCAAUCCGAUCAACAACAUCAUUAACAUAGCAAUCCGACCAACAACACAUUAUUAAGUACAAUUGCAGAUUCUCAACAACACAGUUACGGGGAGUCACUCGCAACAUCUAUCAUACAUAACAACUCAAGUUCAGCAAAUUAUCGGCAAGCGCAGCAAAACCCAAGGCCUGUUCGGGUGCAACAUGCGCGGAAGGAAACAGAACAGCAGCUGGUGCAGUGUGCUUCUGCCUCGGCCAGAAGCAAUUUUCUCCAAGUCGGUGGCUUCAAGGAGCAGCCCCCUUGUCCUUGUC
RNAcentral lists this long non-coding RNA (319 nucleotides) under Triticum aestivum (bread wheat). RNAcentral's name for it is "long non-coding RNA (TAES_LNC023424)". The record is from RNAcentral. Lineage: Eukaryota; Viridiplantae; Streptophyta; Magnoliopsida; Poales; Poaceae.